RNAcentral lists this ribosomal RNA (500 nucleotides) under uncultured bacterium. Its description in RNAcentral is "partial 16S ribosomal RNA". It matches the Rfam family "Bacterial small subunit ribosomal RNA", at positions 30 to 523 of the family's 1533-position model. The record is from RNAcentral.
AUUGAACGCUGGCGGCAUGCUUUACACAUGCAAGUCGAACGGCAGCGCGGGGCCAACCCUGGCGGCGAGUGGCGAACGGGUGAGUAAUGUAUCGGAACGUACCCAGUCGUGGGGGAUAACGUAGCGAAAGCUACGCUAAUACCGCAUACGAUCUAUGGAUGAAAGCGGGGGACCGUAAGGCCUCGUGCGAUUGGAGUGGCCGAUAUCAGAUUAGGUAGUUGGUGGGGUAAAGGCCCACCAAGCCGACGAUCUGUAGCUGGUCUGAGAGGACGACCAGCCACACUGGGACUGAGACACGGCCCAGACUCCUACGGGAGGCAGCAGUGGGGAAUUUUGGACAAUGGGCGCAAGCCUGAUCCAGCAAUGCCGCGUGCAGGAUGAAGGCCUUCGGGUUGUAAACUGCUUUUGUACGGAGCGAAAAGGCUCUCUCUAAUACAGGGGGCUCAUGACGGUACCGUAAGAAUAAGCACCGGCUAACUACGUGCCAGCCGCCGCAGUAA